AUCGUUCAACCUGAUACAUUCAGGUCGCAAGUAAGCCGACUCGGAACGGAUC
Molecule: non-coding RNA, 52 nt
Filed under: Prochlorococcus phage P-SSM2
Lineage: Duplodnaviria; Heunggongvirae; Uroviricota; Caudoviricetes; Pantevenvirales; Kyanoviridae
Also listed under: 1 other name
Description: Glutamine riboswitch aptamer (glnA leader)
Rfam family: Glutamine riboswitch aptamer (glnA leader)
Source: Rfam by way of RNAcentral